Ribosomal RNA from Meriones unguiculatus (Mongolian gerbil), 97 nucleotides. The record is from Ensembl. Lineage: Eukaryota; Metazoa; Chordata; Mammalia; Rodentia; Muridae.
GUCCACGGCCAUGCUAGCCUGAAUGCGCCUGAUCGUUUGAGAUCUUGGAAGCUAAGCAGGUUAGGUUCUGGUUAGUACUUGAAUCAGAGGGUGUACC